This 511-nucleotide ribosomal RNA is filed under the name uncultured bacterium. RNAcentral describes it as "partial 16S ribosomal RNA". It matches the Rfam family "Bacterial small subunit ribosomal RNA", at positions 28 to 507 of the family's 1533-position model. The record is from RNAcentral.
GACAAACGCUGGCGGCAUGCCUAACACAUGCAAGUCGAACGGACAGAACAGGGAAGCUUUUCGGAGUGGAACUGGAAAGUUAGUGGCGGAUGGGUGAGUAACGCGUGGACAACCUACCUUGUAAAGGGGAAUAACCUCGAGAAAUCGAAGCUAAUACCCCAUAAUAACCUUGCUUCGCAUGAAGUAAGGAGGAAAGGCGGCCUUAGCGCUGUCGAUACAAGAUGGGUCCGCGUCUGAUUAGCUAGUUGGUGAGGUAAAGGCUCACCAAGGCGACGAUCAGUAGCCGGCCUGAUAGGGUGAACGGCCAAAUUGGGACUGAGACACGGCCCAAACUCCUACGGGAGGCAGCAGUGGGGAAUCUUCCGCAAUGGGCGAAAGCCUGACGGAGCAAUGCCGCGUGAGUGAAGAAGGCCUUCGGGUUGUAAAACUCUGUCCUUAUCGAAGAGAGAGUGUUGUAGUAACUGACAAUACUAGGACGGUAGAUGAGGAGGAAGCCCCGGCUAACUAUGUG